This 111-nucleotide ribosomal RNA is filed under the name Caerostris darwini. The record is from RNAcentral. Lineage: Eukaryota; Metazoa; Arthropoda; Arachnida; Araneae; Araneidae.
AACGGCCGUACCAUGCUAAAUAUACAGGUUCUCGUUAGAUCACCGAAGUUAAGCAUCAUUGGGCGCGGUCAGUACUUGGGUGGGUGACCACCUGGGAACACUGCGUGCCGU